UACGUAGGGUGCGAGCGUUAAUCGGAAUUACUGGGCGUAAAGCGUGCGCAGGCGGUUUUGUAAGUCAGAUGUGAAAUCCCCGGGCUCAACCUGGGAACUGCAUUUGAGACUGCAAGGCUAGAGUGUGGCAGAGGGGGGUGGAAUUCCACGUGUAGCAGUGAAAUGCGUAGAGAUGUGGAGGAACACCGAUGGCGAAGGCAGCCCCCUGGGCCAAUACUGACGCUCAUGCACGAAAGCGUGGGGAGCAAACAGG
This 253-nucleotide ribosomal RNA is filed under the name uncultured bacterium. RNAcentral's name for it is "partial 16S ribosomal RNA". It matches the Rfam family "Bacterial small subunit ribosomal RNA", at positions 524 to 776 of the family's 1533-position model. The record is from RNAcentral. RNAcentral also lists the same sequence under 1 other name.